AUUGAACGCUGGCGGCAUGCUUUACACAUGCAAGUCGAACGGCAGCGCGGGCUUCGGCCUGGCGGCGAGUGGCGAACGGGUGAGUAAUGCAUCGGAACGUGCCCAGUAGUGGGGGAUAGCCCGGCGAAAGCCGGAUUAAUACCGCAUACGACCUGAGGGUGAAAGCGGGGGACCGAAAGGCCUCGCGCUAUUGGAGCGGCCGAUGUCGGAUUAGCUAGUUGGUGGGGUAAAGGCUUACCAAGGAGACGAUCCGUAGCUGGUCUGAGAGGACGACCAGCCAAACUGGGACUGAGACACGGCCCAGACUCCUACGGGAGGCAGCAGUGGGGAAUUUUGGACAAUGGGGGCAACCCUGAUCCAGCCAUGCCGCGUGCGGGAAGAAGGCCUUCGGGUUGUAAACCGCUUUUGUUCGGGAAGAAAUCCUCUGGGCUAAUACCCCGGGGGGAUGACGGUACCGGAAGAAUAAGCACCGGCUAACUACGUG
Molecule: ribosomal RNA, 484 nt
Filed under: uncultured bacterium
Lineage: Bacteria
Description: partial 16S ribosomal RNA
Rfam family: Bacterial small subunit ribosomal RNA
Source: RNAcentral